ACGACGGCAGCGCUGUCGCACUCCGAAACAAAAAAGGUAUAUUACCUUAGAAUGCCAGUCGUUCUUACUUCAGUCUUCGUACAGUCUUUGCUUUAACCCGUUCCAAUUCUGUCCGCCGUUCGUACGCUCGCUCGCUCGUUCGCUCUAUAGAAGUCAUAUGUAGUAUAAAAGCAACAACAACAACAAGAACUGGCACAAUAAUAACAACAGCAACAACAAACACACCUGGCUAUAGAAUAACACGCACGCCGUUCAGUCGCUUCUCAGAGCUGAGUUUGAGUUGAGUUCUAGAGCUCUUGGCUAUCAUCAUCAACAGAGUAGCCGUAGUCAGUAGUAGCCGCAUCGCCGCCGAGCCGCCGCCGCUGUCGUCGUCGCCGUCGCCGCUGUCGCCGUCGCCGUCGCAGCCAGCACACACAUCACAAACCAACCACCACUACCAACACCAACACUACCACCAACGCAAACCCCCAUAACAGCAGCAACAACAAUAACAGAAGCAGAAGCAGCAGCAACACACACACAACCACACGCGCGUUCGCUCACUCACGAAAAUUUCAAUAUCCAAAUCAAAGUUGAGUUCAAAUCGAAAACAGCCGCAAUACCAGCAACAACGUCUCGCAAAUAGCACGCGUACAUUAAAAAACACACGCAGCAUAUCAAAUAGUCAAAAAAAAUCGCCAAAUCGCCAAGUUCGGAAUAAAUAAAUAAAUCUUCAAACAACUUAAAAAAAAUAAAAAAUCUAAAUAACAAUAAAAUCCGCAAACUUUUUCAUACGGCUUUUCUCGACUUUUCACUUUGCGUGAGUGCUAACAAGAAAAAAAACAGAAAAAACAAAGAUCUACAAAUAUUUAAAAACUUGAACUCCCAACUCGAACUUAACUUAAAAGCUAUCAGUGUAUCGCUAUUUUGUAUCUUCUAAUACUCAACAACAACAACAGCAACAACCACAAGAUAGCCAUAAUUACAAGUAACCACACAACAACGACAACAACAACAACUACAAAACGCAUUAGCAACAUUUAAAGCGGCAAAGUUACAUAUAAUAAAAUAUAAAAAAAAAAUAGUAAAGACAAAACACAAAAAUCUAAAAGCACCAACAAAAAAUCAACAACCUUUAACAAAGAAAAAAAAAAGAAAAAAAUAAUAAAAAACAGCACUUCAUCUACUUCAACGACUUUGACUCGACAUUUAAUUGUAAACAAGCUCACCAAACACACAAGCACUUAACUCUCGACUACCCAAAACCAAAACCCGUGCAAUUCCCUCAUCAAGAAAAUACCAAAUAAAUAACAAGAAAAUACCCAAAAAAUAAUAAUAAAACGCAAGACAAAUACAACAAUUAAUAAAUAAGAACAAAUUAAGAGCAACAAAGCGAAAACGUAACGCAACUUAAAUAAAACUAAAAAAAAAAAAACAAACAAAAGUGCAGAAUAUAGAAAUUUUUCAAUCAACAUUUGUUGCCAAUAAAACUGUCAUCAUUGCCGCGUUAACAGAAACCACGGCGUCAGCAGCGAUUGCAGCGCUCAGUAUCAGCAGCAGCUCUCAAGCGUCGCUUGCCAGCGCCAACGCCGCCCCGCCGACAGUCGGAACCACCACCGCCGCUGCAGCCGCCGCCGCCACCGCCGCUGCCGUCGUCACAACUGUUGCAACAGCCGCAGCAACUCCGUCACCGCCGUUAACGGUAAAAAGCGAAAUCGUUGCAUCUGAUUCAACAGCCGAGUCCUCCCCUAUACAAGAUUUAAUCAUGCAAAUGCAACUGUUGCAAGCAGCGCCGCCAACGCAUCCGCAUCAUUUGCACCUGCAGCAUCCAGCCGCUGCUGCGA
This is a long non-coding RNA of Drosophila novamexicana, 1823 nucleotides long. RefSeq lists it as uncharacterized. The transcript is spliced from 4 exons. NCBI's taxonomy places the organism in Eukaryota, Metazoa, Arthropoda, Insecta, Diptera, Drosophilidae. The record is from RefSeq and is a predicted model, not a curated record.